GCUCUAGGAUAGCUCAGAUGGUAGAGCAUGAGACUCUUAAUCUCAGGGUUGUGGGUUCAAGCCCCAUGUUGGGCA
This 75-nucleotide transfer RNA is filed under the name Podarcis lilfordi (Lilford's wall lizard). RNAcentral's name for it is "tRNA.Lys". The stretch from base 10 to 67 matches the Rfam family "tRNA", at positions 8 to 63 of the family's 71-position model. From Rfam's summary of the family: Transfer RNA (tRNA) molecules are approximately 80 nucleotides in length. Their secondary structure includes four short double-helical elements and three loops (D, anti-codon, and T loops). The record is from RNAcentral. Lineage: Eukaryota; Metazoa; Chordata; Lepidosauria; Squamata; Lacertidae.